Molecule: ribosomal RNA, 366 nt
Filed under: Kanarella sp. BMNH 846546
Lineage: Eukaryota; Metazoa; Arthropoda; Insecta; Coleoptera; Chrysomelidae
Description: partial 16S ribosomal RNA
Source: RNAcentral
UUAAAUGGCCGCGGUAUUUUGACCGUGCUAAGGUAGCAUAAUCAUUAGUUUUUUAAUUAAAAGCUGGAAUGAAGGGCUGGAUGAAAAAAUGACUGUCUCAAUUUAAAAAUUAAGAAUUUUAUUUUUAAGUUAAAAAGCUUAAAUAAGUUUAAAAGACGAGAAGACCCUAUAGAGUUUUAGAAUUAAAAUUUAUUUAUUAUUUAGAAUUUAAUUAAAAAGUAAGUUUUAAUUUUUUAAUUGGGGUGAUUAAAAAAUUUAAAUAACUUUUUUUAUAAAUUUAUAUUGAUUUAUAGAUAUUUGAUCCAAUUGUUUUGAUUAAAAGAUAAAAUUACCUUAGGGAUAACAGCGUAAUUUUAUUGGAGAGUU